UAAGUACUCCCUCCGUUCCAAAAUAGAUGACCCAACUUUGUACUAACUUAACUUUAAGUUAAGUUAGUACAAAGUUGGGUCAUCUAUUUUGGAACGGAGGGAGUACAAU
Non-coding RNA from Triticum aestivum (bread wheat), 109 nucleotides. NCBI's taxonomy places the organism in Eukaryota, Viridiplantae, Streptophyta, Magnoliopsida, Poales, Poaceae. The record is from Rfam.